Molecule: long non-coding RNA, 396 nt
Filed under: Felis catus (domestic cat)
Lineage: Eukaryota; Metazoa; Chordata; Mammalia; Carnivora; Felidae
Description: lncRNA (ENSFCAG00000044634.2)
Source: RNAcentral
GGGGAAUAUAUCCUUUUACUGUCCAGCCUGGGAGGGUGGAAAUGAGAACUAGAAGAUCUUGGAACAUCCCAGGGCUUCAUUGAAGUUCAAUUACCGCUCUUGAGAUUGGGAACAUGACUUAAAACUAAUGGCAAAUGAAGAGACAAUUAUACACUGACUUUAGGAGUACAAAAGCUGAUUGUGGUCCUGUGUCUGAAGCCUCCCCAUCUGGGAGCAUCUGGGAUAUAGAAGCUGCAGGGAAUACGGAAGGCAGGGCUGUUGAGCUAUGACGACUGUGGGAAAGUCUGGUGUAAAGGAAUGAACAUUCUUGCCUUGUGGGUGAGACAGACUUAGGUAAGUUAUUUCACCCUUCUGAGCCUCAGUUCCCUCACACAUAGAAUGGUGAUCGUAAAAUCG